GUGGUGACCCCUGACCUAUCCUGUUACACGUGGUGACCCCUGACCUAUCCUGUUACACGUGGUGACCCUGACCUAUCCAGUUACACGUGGUGACCCCUGACCUAUCCUGUUACAUGUGGUGACCCCUGAUCUAUCCUGUUACACGUGGUGACCCCUGACCUAUCCUGUUACCUGUUCGGUGUGCUCUGACUCCACAGACUCAGUAUCGCUAUAUUUACCUAACACUCUCUCGUUACUAGUGUAACCCUGAACUGUGGUUCCUCUCUUUGGCUCUGUCUGAAAUAGCACUCUCUUUAUUUAACAAGGCAAGUCAGUUAAUUAAGACAUUCUUCUUUACAACCCCGGCCAAACCAGAACGACGCUGGGACAAUUGUGCGCUGCCCUACGGGAUACAGCCUGGAUUCGCACCAGGGACUGUAGUGACGCCUCUUGCACUGAGAUGUAGUGCACUAUUUUAGUCCAGAGCCCUAUGGAACCCUAUUCCCUAUAUAGUUCACUACUUUAGACACCAGAGCCCUAUGGAACCCUCUUUCCUAUGGACCCUGGUCUAUAGUAGUGCCCUCUAUAGGGUGCCAUUUUAGGUUGCACACUUUGACCCAUCUCCUGGUUAGUGGACAUACAGAUCUGUUAUGUAUUAUUCUGUCUUGGGUUAGAGAUCCUUUAUGUAUUAAUCUGUCUUGGUUAGAGAGCCAAUAUAUGCAUCUUGGGUUAGAGAUUCAUAAUGUAUUAAUCUGUCUUGGGUUAGAGAUUCUUUAUGUAUUAAUCUGUCUUGGGUUAGAGAUUCUUUAUGUAUUAAUCUGUCUUGGGUUAGAGAUUCUUUAUGUAUUAAUCUGUCUUGGGUUAGAGAUUCUUUAUGUAUUAGUCUAUGUAUUAAUCUGUCUUGGGUUAGAGAUUCUUUAUGUAUUAAUCUAUGUAUUAAUCUGUCUUGGGUUAGAGAUUAUUUGUAUUAAUCUGUCUUGGGUUAGAGAUUAUUUGUAUUAAUCUGUCUUGGGUUAGAGAUUCUUUAUGUAUUAAUCUGUCUUGGGUUAGAUUCUUUAUGUAUUAAUCUGUCUUGGGUUAGAGAUUCUUUAUGUAUUAAUCUGUCUUGGGUUAGAGAUUCUUUGUAUUAAUCUGUCUUGGGUUAGAGAUUCUUUAUGUAUUAAUCUGUCUUGUUUAGAGAUUCUUUAUGUAUUAAUCUGUCUUGGGUUAGAGAUUCUUUAUGUAUUAAUCUGUCUUGGUUAGAGACUGUCUUGGAUUAGAUUCUUUAUGUAUUCAUCGGUCUUGGGUUAGAGAUCCUUUAUGUAUUAUUCUGUCUUGGGUUAGAUUCUUUAUGUAUUAAUCUGUCUUGGGUUAGAGAUCCUUUAUGUAUUAAUCUGUCUUGGGUUAGAGAUUCUUUAUGUAUUAAUCUGUCUUGGGUUAGAGAUUCUUUAUGUAUUAGUCUAUGUAUUAAUCUGUCUUGGGUUAGAGAUUAUUUGUAUUAAUCUGUCUUGGGUUAGAGAUUCUUUGUAUUAAUCUGUCUUGGGUUAGAGAUUCUUUAUGUAUUAAUCUGUCUUGGUUAGAGAUUCUUUAUGUAUUAGUCUAUGUAUUAAUCUGUCUUGGGUUAGAGAUUCUUUAUGUAUUAAUCUGUCUUGUUUAGAGAUUCUUUAUGUAUUAAUCUGUCUUGGGUUAGAGAUUCUUUAUGUAUUAAUCUGUCUUGGUUAGAGACUGUCUUGGAUUAGAUUCUUUAUGUAUUAAUCUGUCUUGGGUUAGAGAUUCUUUAUGUAUUAAUCUGUCUUGGGUUAGAGAUUCUUUAUGUAUUAGUCUAUGUAUUAAUCUGUCUUGGUUAGAGAUUCUUUAUGUAUUAAUCUGUCAUGGUUAGAGAUUCUUUAUGUAUUAAUCUGUCUUGGGUUAGAGAUCCUUUAUGUAUUAUUCUGUCUUGGGUUAGAGAUUCUUUGUAUUAAUCUGUCUUGGGUUAGAGAUUCUUUAUGUAUUAAUCUGUCUUGGGUUAGAGAUUCUUUAUGUAUUAAUCUGUCUUGGUUAGAGAUUCUUUAUGUAUUAGUCUAUGUAUUAAUCUGUCUUGGGUUAGAGAUCCUUUAUGUAUUAAUCUGUCUUGGGUUAGAGAUUCUUUAUGUAUUAAUCUGUCUUGGGUUAGAGAUUCUUUAUGUAUUAAUCUGUCUUGGGUUAGAGAUUCUUUAUGUAUUAAUCUGUCUUGGGUUAGAGAUUCUUUGUAUUAAUCUGUCUUGGGUUAGAGAUUCUUUAUGUAUUAGUCUAUGUAUUAAUCUGUCUUGGGUUAGAGAUUCUUUAUGUAUUAAUCUGUCUUGGGUUAGAGAUCCUUUAUGUAUUAGUCUAUGUAUUAAUCUGUCUUGGGUUAGAGAUCCUUUAUGUAUUAAUCUGUCUUGGGUUAGAGAUUCUUUGUAUUAAUCUGUCUUGGAUUAGAUUCUUUAUGUAUUAAUCUGUCUUGGGUUAGAGAUUAUUUAUGUAUUAAUCUGUCUUGGGUUAGAGAUCCUUUAUGUAUUAAUCUGUCUUGGGUUAGAGAUCCUUUAUGUAUUAAUCUGUCUUGGGUUAGAGAUCCUUUAUGUAUUAAUCUGUCUUGGGUUAGAGAUCCUUUAUGUAUUAUUCUGUCUUGGAUUAGAUCCUUUAUGUAUUAAUCUGUCUUGGGUUAGAGAUCCUUUAUGUAUUAAUCUGUCUUGGGUUAGAGAUCCUUUAUGUAUUAAUCUGUCUUGGGUUUGUACAGUUAUAUUGCUGAAUGGUGAUCUUAAUAACUUUUCCCUCCUAACACUUUGUUCUGUGUGUCUGGAGCUCCUGGUCAUGAAUAUGUAUGGCUGAUUUAUUAACAGUGGGCAGCCUCCCAAAUCACACCCUAUGCCCUUUACAGUGAACUGCGUUUAACCAGACUAGUGCACUAUAUAGGGAACAGGGUGCCGUUUUAGGGACGCUGCCGGUGUGAUUUUAAAGGAUGUUUUUUGACUGGGCUGUGUUCUACACUGUUUUGAUUGGAGCGGUUUAAAGGUUUAAGUCAAUUCCUUCCUAGUCAUUUCUAGAAACCUGUUUGCGUUCCAGGCCGACUACGUUACAGAUGCAUUGCAUCCACCCAUUGUUCUGCACCACGUCAUUGAGUGACACAAUCGGGCAUCAGAUUGCUAUAUAAUAGGAUGUGGUUAGGUGUUUAACAUAACAGCUAUCUAGGCAGGCAUCUGCAGUGUAGUCAUCCUGGAACGUGUCCGUUGUGUUACUUCCUGUUACUAGUGAGUGUUAUGUUGCAUGUUCUUUUCUGAACCGGUGUCUGGCUCGUAGGACUGUAGUUUUAACUGAACCGGUGUCUGGCUCGUAGGACUGUAGUUUUAACUGAACCGGUGUCUGGCUCGUAGGACUGUAGUUUUAACUGAACCGGUGUCUGGCUCGUAGGACUGUAGUUUUAACUGAACCGGUGUCUGGCUCGUAGGACUGUAGUUUUAACUGAACCGGGGUCUGGCUCGUAGGACUGUAGUUUUAACUGAACCGGUGUCUGUAGUUUAGUGAUUCUCUGCAUGCAUGUGUUUUAUUAAUCGUCUACAAUCAGAGCAGCAACGUGCUAAGGGAACCCUAUCUCCUACAUAGUGCACCACUUUAGACCAGGGCCCUCUGGGCUUCCUCACCUGGGCUUCCCCACCUGGGCUUCCCUACCUGGGCUUCCUCACCUGGGCUUCCCCACCUGGGCUUCCUCACCUGGGCUUCCCUACCUGGGCUUCCUCACCUGGGCUUCCCUACCUGGGCUUCCUCACCUGGGCUUCCUCACCUGGGCUUCCCCACCUGGGCUUCCUCACCUGGGCUUCCUCACCUGGGCUUCCCCACCUGGGCUUCCCCAUCCGGGCUUCCCCAUCCGGGCUUCCCCAUCCGGGCUUCCUCACCUGGGCUUCCCCACCUGGGCUUCCCCAUCCGGGCUUCCUCACCUGGGCUUCCUCACCUGGGCUUCCCCACCUGGGCUUCCCCACCUGGGCCUCCCCACCUGGGCUUCCCCACCUGGGCUUCCCCACCUGGGCCUCCCCACCUGGGCUUCCCCACCGGGCUUCCCCACCUGGGCUUCCCAAUUUUCCCUGGUCUAAAUUAGUGCAGUAUGAAGGGAAUAGGGAAUGUGAUGUUAACUUUUGUGUUUUUCUACUGGCUGUACAAUUUUAUAUUCUUUCCCAUUCUGGACCUAUUUUAAUGAAGAGGUCUCUAUCAGAGAAACUGUUGUAUCCCCUAUGCCAUCCUGUUCCCUAUAUAGUACACUACUUUUGGCCCAGUCAGGCUAGGGACAAUAAUCCAACUCAAAUGUGACACUAAACAGUGGUUUGUAAUGACAUUGGGGAGUUGAGAGAGAGCUGGAGAUCAGCCACAUGUCUGUCACUCUGGCGUGUGUCUAGUGUGACACCAGAUGUGCCUGUAAAUACAUUGUGAAGAGAUUUGUUUUUAUGGGGAAUAAUAAAGUUUUUAAUUGUAACAGGA
Long non-coding RNA from Oncorhynchus tshawytscha (Chinook salmon), 4422 nucleotides. The record is from Ensembl. Lineage: Eukaryota; Metazoa; Chordata; Actinopteri; Salmoniformes; Salmonidae.